GCUAUAGCGCACGUCCUCGGGGGCCGCAAAGAAGGGGCCGUAACUCAUGAUCCGGGCCUCCGAUUCCGUUUCCGUCGGGUCCCGCGGGACCAGGGAUCCGGGGGCAUCGGGAUGGGGGGGUAGCCGCGCUGCGGUUUGAACGCCGAAAAAUGGGCAUGUUCGGGGUGCGCUCAGUAGGUUUAGACGGUUUUGGGCGUAUCUCAUGAUCCGGGCAUCCGAUUCCGUUUCCGUCAGGUCCCACGGGACCAGGGGUCCGGGGGCAUCGGGAUGGGGGGGUAGCCGCGCGGCGGUUUGAACGACGAAAAACGGGCAUGAUCGGGGCGGUUUUGCCG
This 332-nucleotide long non-coding RNA is filed under the name Citrus x clementina. Its description in RNAcentral is "Citrus clementina (C. clementina) long non-coding RNA (CCLE_LNC003204)". Lineage: Eukaryota; Viridiplantae; Streptophyta; Magnoliopsida; Sapindales; Rutaceae. The record is from RNAcentral.